GGGUUGUGAGGUUAAGCGACUAAGCGUACACGGUGGAUGCCUAGGCAAUCAGAGGCGAUGAAGGACGUGCUAAUCUGCGAUAAGCGUCGGUAAGGUGAUAUGAACCGUUAUACCCGACGAUUUCCGAAUGGGGAAACCCAGUGCAAUCCGUUGCACUAUCGUUUGAUGAAUACAUAGUCAAACGAAGCGAACCGGGGGAACUGAAACAUCUCAGUACCCCGAGGAAAAGAAAUCAACCGAGAUUCCCCUAGUAGCGGCGAGCGAACGGGGAGCAGCCCAGAGUCUUAAUCAGCAUUAGUAUCAGGAGAACGGUCUGGAAAGUCCGGCAGUAAAGGGUGAUAGCCCCGUAUCUGAAGAUAUUAGUGUUGUGAACUCGACGAGUAGGGCGGGACACGUGUUAUCCUGUCUGAAUAUGGGGGGACCAUCCUCCAAGGCUAAAUACUCCUGAUUGACCGAUAGUGAACCAGUACCGUGAGGGAAAGGCGAAAAGAACCCCGGCGAGGGGAGUGAAAUAGAACCUGAAACCGUGUACGUACAAGCAGUGGGAGCCUUGAUUUAUCAGGGUGACUGCGUACCUUUUGUAUAAUGGGUCAGCGACUUAUAUUCUGUAGCAAGGUUAACCGUAUAGGGGAGCCGUAGGGAAACCGAGUCUUAACUGGGCGAAUGAGUUGCAGGGUAUAGACCCGAAACCCGGUGAUCUAGCCAUGGGCAGGUUGAAGGUUGGGUAACACUAACUGGAGGACCGAACCGACUAAUGUUGAAAAAUUAGCGGAUGACUUGUGGCUGGGGGUGAAAGGCCAAUCAAACCGGGAGAUAGCUGGUUCUCCCCGAAAGCUAUUUAGGUAGCGCCUCGUGAACUCAUCUUCGGGGGUAGAGCACUGUUUCGACUAGGGGGUCAUCCCGACUUACCAACUCGAUGCAAACUACGAAUACCGAAGAAUGUUAUCACGGGAGACACACGGCGGGUGCUAACGUUCGUCGUGAAGAGGGAAACAACCCAGACCGCCAGCUAAGGUCCCAAAGUCAUAGUUAAGUGGGAAACGAAGUGGGAAGGCUCAGACAGCCAGGAUGUUGGCUUAGAAGCAGCCAUCAUUUAAAGAAAGCGUAAUAGCUCACUGGUCGAGUCGGCCUGCGCGGAAGAUGUAACGGGGCUAAACUAUGCACCGAAGCUGCGGCAGCGAUAUGUAAAUAUUGUUGGGUAGGGGAGCGUUCUGUAAGCCUGUGAAGGUGUACUGUGAGGUAUGCUGGAGGUAUCAGAAGUGCGAAUGCUGACAUAAGUAACGAUAAUGCGGGUGAAAAACCCGCACGCCGGAAGACCAAGGGUUCCUGUCCAACGUUAAUCGGGGCAGGGUGAGUCGACCCCUAAGGCGAGGCAGAAAUGCGUAGUCGAUGGGAAACGGGUUAAUAUUCCCGUACUGGUGAUAAUUGCGAUGGGGGGACGGAGAAGGCUAGGCUGGCCGGGCGACGGUUGUCCCGGUUUAAGGAUGUAGGCAGGUGAAUUAGGCAAAUCCGGUUCACUACAUGCUGAGGUCUGAUGACGAGUCACUACGGUGGCGAAGUAGCUCAUGCCCCGCUUCCAGGAAAAGCCUCUAAGCUCUAGAUUAUCAUUAAUCGUACCCCAAACCGACACAGGUGGUCAGGUAGAGAAUACUCAGGCGCUUGAGAGAACUCGGGUGAAGGAACUAGGCAAAAUGGUGCCGUAACUUCGGGAGAAGGCACGCUGGCGCUAGGUGAAGUGGUUUACCCAUGGAGCUGAAGCCAGUCGCAGAUACCAGCUGGCUGCAACUGUUUAUUAAAAACACAGCACUGUGCAAACACGAAAGUGGACGUAUACGGUGUGACGCCUGCCCGGUGCUGGAAGGUUAAUUGAUGGGGUUAUCCGUAAGGAGAAGCUCUUGAUCGAAGCCCCAGUAAACGGCGGCCGUAACUAUAACGGUCCUAAGGUAGCGAAAUUCCUUGUCGGGUAAGUUCCGACCUGCACGAAUGGCGUAAUGAUGGCCAGGCUGUCUCCACCCGAGACUCAGUGAAAUUGAACUCGCUGUGAAGAUGCAGUGUACCCGCGGCAAGACGGAAAGACCCCGUGAACCUUUACUAUAGCUUGACACUGAACAUUGAGCCUUGAUGUGUAGGAUAGGUGGGAGGCUUUGAAGUGUGGACGCCAGUCUGCAUGGAGCCAACCUUGAAAUACCACCCUUUAAUGUUUGAUGUUCUAACGUUGCCCCGUUAUCCGGGGUGCGGACAGUGUCUGGUGGGUAGUUUGACUGGGGCGGUCUCCUCCCAAAGAGUAACGGAGGAGCACGAAGGUUGGCUAAGCAUGGUCGGACAUCAUGCGGUUAGUGCAAAGGCAUAAGCCAGCUUGACUGCGAGAGUGACGGCUCGAGCAGGUACGAAAGUAGGUCUUAGUGAUCCGGUGGUUCUGAAUGGAAGGGCCAUCGCUCAACGGAUAAAAGGUACUCCGGGGAUAACAGGCUGAUACCGCCCAAGAGUUCAUAUCGACGGCGGUGUUUGGCACCUCGAUGUCGGCUCAUCACAUCCUGGGGCUGAAGUAGGUCCCAAGGGUACGGCUGUUCGCCGUUUAAAGUGGUACGCGAGCUGGGUUUAGAACGUCGUGAGACAGUUCGGUCCCUAUCUGCCGUGGGCGUUGGAAGAUUGAAAGGGGCUGCUCCUAGUACGAGAGGACCGGAGUGGACGCACCACUGGUGUUCGGGUUGUCAUGCCAAUGGCAUUGCCCGGUAGCUAAGUGCGGAAGAGAUAACCGCUGAAAGCAUCUAAGCGGGAAACUUGCCUUGAGAUGAGUCUUCCCUGACCCUUUAAGGGUCCUAAAGGAACGUUUAAGACUAAGACGUUGAUAGGUUGGGUGUGUAAGCAUAGCGAUAUGUUGAGCUAACCAAUACUAAUGAACCGUGAGGCUUAACCUGACAACACCGAAGGUGUUUUAG
RNAcentral lists this ribosomal RNA (2939 nucleotides) under Providencia vermicola. RNAcentral describes it as "23S ribosomal RNA". It matches the Rfam family "Bacterial large subunit ribosomal RNA". The record is from RNAcentral. Lineage: Bacteria; Pseudomonadati; Pseudomonadota; Gammaproteobacteria; Enterobacterales; Morganellaceae.